RNAcentral lists this unclassified non-coding RNA (386 nucleotides) under uncultured Tepidisphaerales bacterium. RNAcentral describes it as "contains 16S-23S intergenic spacer region". Lineage: Bacteria; Pseudomonadati; Planctomycetota; Phycisphaerae; Tepidisphaerales. The record is from RNAcentral.
UCCGGUUUGACACCGGCGGUCCCCUUAGAGUCCCCGGCAUGACCCGAUGGUAACUAAGGGCAAAGGUUUCGCUCGUUAAGGGACUUAACCCGACAUCUCACGACACGAGCUGACGACAGCCAUGCAGCACCUGUGCCAGUUGUACCCCUUGCGGGGCCUACCGUACUUUCAUACGGAUAAUCCAGGCAUGUCAAGCCCAGGUAAGGUUCUGCGCGUUGCUUCGAAUUGAACCACAUGCUCCACCGCUUGUGUGAGCCCCCGUCAAUUCCUUUGAGUUUUAGCCUUGCGACCGUACUUCCCAGGCGGUCCACUUAACACUUUUGCUCCGACCGCGACGGCGUCAAAACCGCCGCGAUCCAGUGGACAUCGUUUAGGGCCAGGACUAC